RNAcentral lists this ribosomal RNA (431 nucleotides) under uncultured bacterium. RNAcentral describes it as "partial 16S ribosomal RNA". It matches the Rfam family "Bacterial small subunit ribosomal RNA", at positions 29 to 507 of the family's 1533-position model. The record is from RNAcentral.
AACGAACGCUGGCGGCAGGCCUAACACAUGCAAGUCGAGCGCCCCGCCAGGGGAGCGGCGGACGGGUGAGUAACGCGUGGGAAUAUGCCCUUUGCUACGGAAUAGUCUCGGGAAACUGGGGGUAAUACCGUAUACGCCAUUUGGGGGAAAGAUUUAUCGGCGAAGGAUUAGCCCGCGUUGGAUUAGGUAGUUGGUGGGGUCAUGGCCUACCAAGCCGACGAUCCAUAGCUGGUUUGAGAGGAUGAUCAGCCACACUGGGACUGAGACACGGCCCAGACUCCUACGGGAGGCAGCAGUGGGGAAUCUUAGACAAUGGGGGCAACCCUGAUCGAGCCAUGCCGCGUGAGUGAUGAAGGCCUUAGGGUUGUAAAGCUCUUUCAGCUGGGAAGAUAAUGACGGUACCAGCAGAAGAAGCCCCGGCUAACUCCGUG